RNAcentral lists this non-coding RNA (585 nucleotides) under Glycine soja. Its description in RNAcentral is "Bacterial small subunit ribosomal RNA". It matches the Rfam family "Bacterial small subunit ribosomal RNA", at positions 813 to 1533 of the family's 1533-position model. Lineage: Eukaryota; Viridiplantae; Streptophyta; Magnoliopsida; Fabales; Fabaceae. The record is from Rfam by way of RNAcentral.
AUAUUAAAAAAUUCACCAUUAAUAAAUAUCCCGCUUGGGAAUACAUUUGCAAGAAUGAAAUUCAAAGGAAUUGAUGAAAGCCCACACAAGCAUUGGAACAUAAGAUUUAUUUCAAUGCAAAGUGUAAAACCUUGCUAGGACUUGAUGUGUAGCAAACCCUCUUGAAAGAGAAGGGUGCCUUCAAGCAUUGAGUUUGGUAUCUUAGCAAACGGUCAAUGAUAAGGGAAAGAAAAGUACGAAUAACAUCGAGUCAUCUUAUGUCACUUAUGUUCUAAAAGUUAUGUAGUGCUAUAUUGGGACAAAGGAUCGCAAUCUUGCAGGGAUGGACUAACUCCAAAAACUAGUCCUUAGUUCAUAUAGUAGGUUGUAACUAAUUACUUUGCAUAAAAUUAAAAUCACCAGUAAUCAUUCAUGAACCAUACAAAGGUGAAUGAAUAAUAUAUAUAUAUAUAUAAAGAUGAAUGCGUUUUCUAAUCUUGUACACACUGCCCAUCACACUUGAAUUGCAAUAGAGGAUGUUGAAGGCACGGUUAAUGAUUGGAGUAAUGUCAUAACAAAGUAAUUGUAUUGAAGAUCACCUCCUUU